RNAcentral lists this ribosomal RNA (460 nucleotides) under uncultured bacterium. RNAcentral describes it as "partial 16S ribosomal RNA". It matches the Rfam family "Bacterial small subunit ribosomal RNA", at positions 338 to 795 of the family's 1533-position model. The record is from RNAcentral.
CCUACGGGUGGCAGCAGUGAGGAAUAAUGGUCAAUGGACGAGAGUCUGAACCAGCCAAGUAGCGUGAAGGAUGACUGCCCUAUGGGUUGUAAACUUCUUUUAUAUGGGAAUAAAAUGUUCCACGUGUGGGAUUUUGUAUGUACCAUAUGAAUAAGGAUCGGCUAACUCCGUGCCAGCAGCCGCGGUAAUACGGAGGAUCCGAGCGUUAUCCGGAUUUAUUGGGUUUAAAGGGAGCGUAGGUGGAUUGUUAAGUCAGUUGUGAAAGUUUGCGGCUCAACCGUAAAAUUGCAGUUGAAACUGGCAGUCUUGAGUACAGUAGAGGUGGGCGGAAUUCGUGGUGUAGCGGUGAAAUGCUUAGAUAUCACGAAGAACACCGAUUGCGAAGGCAGUUCACUGGACUGCAACUGACACUGAGGCUCGAAAGUGUGGGUAUCAAACAGGAUUAGAUACCCUUGUAGUC